RNAcentral lists this ribosomal RNA (463 nucleotides) under uncultured bacterium. RNAcentral's name for it is "partial 16S ribosomal RNA". It matches the Rfam family "Bacterial small subunit ribosomal RNA", at positions 28 to 507 of the family's 1533-position model. The record is from RNAcentral.
GAUGAACGCUGCCAGAAUGCUUAACACAUGCAAGUCGAUGGGGAAGUGGUGCUUGCACCCUGGCAACCAUGGCGGACGGGUGAGUAACGCGUAAGGGACUUACCUGCAGGACUGGGAUAACAGGGGGAAACUCCUGACAAGACCGGAUAAUGUCAUGGAGCUGCAUGGCUUUAUGAUGAAAGGAGACGCCUGCGGAGAGCCUUGCGUCCUAUUAGCUAGUUGGUGAGGUAAUGGCUCACCAAGGCGAAGAUAGGUAGCCGGCCUGAGAGGGUGGACGGCCACAAGGGGACUGAGAUACGGCCCUUACUCCUACGGGAGGCAGCAGUGGGGAAUAUUGGACAAUGGGGGCAACCCUGAUACAGCAAUUCUGUGUGCACGAAGAAGGUUUUCGGAUUGUAAAGUGCUUUCAGCAGGGAAGAAGUAAGUGACGGUACCUGCAGAAGAAGCGACGGCUAAAUACGUG